CGUAGGAAUCCCAGGACUGUUGGUGAUGCGGGGGCUGCUCCGGUAACAAUCAUUCUCACGUGCCCUCCAAGACUGGCCUGUGGGAAGAUAGAAGCUGUCGAUGAUGGUGACACACGACACAGUCCUCAUUCAAGAAUAGCAGGAAGAAGGCUGAGUGGAUACCACUAAUGAACCAGAUUCCUAGGGUGGUGCAGGACCUGGGACUGCGGUGGCGAUGUGGCAAGGAACUGGCUCUGGCCUGAUUCAGGAGAAGUUGGUGGGAUUGGACACAAGAAAAGGGAAAGAGGAUUCCUGUUUAUCUGGAGAAAAGUCACUGGGCCAUCUCCAUUUCUCCUAUGAAAUCACCCGCUGGGCACGGUGUCACUCUAGACUCACAGACUCAUUUCUUUACCUGAAUCUUAUUAAAGAAGAGUUCAUCCCA
Molecule: long non-coding RNA, 421 nt
Organism: Rattus norvegicus (Norway rat)
Lineage: Eukaryota; Metazoa; Chordata; Mammalia; Rodentia; Muridae
Source: RefSeq, a predicted model, not a curated record